UUUGGUGAAAGUUACUUCCGUCAAGGUGAUCUUGGACGGGCUUUAAAAAAAUUUCUGGCUGUGGAGAAGCACUAUGCUAAUAUCACUGAAGACCAAUUUGACUUCCAUUCUUAUUGUUUGAGGAAAAUGACUUUACGUACAUAUGUUGAAAUGCUUAAAUUUCAAGAUCGAUUGCAUUCAAAUCCAUAUUUUCAUAAAGCAGCAGUUGGUGCAAUUAGGUAAAGCAUUUAUAUUGGGUUCCACAUAUUGGAUUUAUUUUUUUAUGAUGUACUAUCAAUUAGUCGUUGAUGGAUUUUCAUAGCUUGACAAUAAAUGUGAAUUUCUGUAAAAAAAAAAAGAGCACUUGCAAUUGUGGAAUUCAGACCCCUUUAGAGAGGACUGAACAAGUUUCAAGGGAGAAAUUGAUGAUUAUUACGGAUUAGACAUCUGACCUUGGUUUUUUUUUAGGUUUUAAAUGCAAUUUGGUGUAUUGUCAGUUUUGCUGGAUUGUCAUUUUCUUGUGGUGUAAUACAUUGUUAAUUUUUGCCCUGUUUGAUAUUUAUGUGUUUAUUUAGGUAGAAGAUCCACUUUUAGAGGCUACAAGGUACUUGAAGUUGCUUCAAAAGAACUCCCCUGAUUUGUUAGAAACACAUUUGCUUUCUUUUGAAGUGAAUGUGAGAAAAUAGAAGGUUUUGCUUCCCUUUCAGGUAAGCUUUUGUUUAAGCGUGUGGCUGAGAAGCUUUUAUUUUGACCCCUCUUUUUGUCUUGAGCUGCAUAAGGCCAACUGAUGACUAAAUUGUCUUUGGAGUGCAGGCUGUAAAGCAACUACUGAGAAACGGAGCACUUGGGCCAAUCGGGGAAUGGACACUUGAGGACUGUGUUCGAGUCCACAAACUCCUAGAAACAAUUCUUUUUGACCAUGAUGCUGCUUUAAGAUGGAAGGAGCAAUGUGCCAAGUACUCUCCUUACUCCACAUACUUUGAGGGCAGACUCAGCUCUGCCAUGCCCAACUCUGUGUACAACCAAAGUAACAACUCAGAAAAUGGAAACCAUUCGGUAGUUGGACAAACUACAGAA
This is a long non-coding RNA of Humulus lupulus (European hop), 1056 nucleotides long. RefSeq lists it as uncharacterized. NCBI's taxonomy places the organism in Eukaryota, Viridiplantae, Streptophyta, Magnoliopsida, Rosales, Cannabaceae. The transcript is spliced from 3 exons. The record is from RefSeq and is a predicted model, not a curated record.